This is a non-coding RNA of Peromyscus maniculatus bairdii (prairie deer mouse), 1536 nucleotides long. Lineage: Eukaryota; Metazoa; Chordata; Mammalia; Rodentia; Cricetidae. The record is from RefSeq and is a predicted model, not a curated record.
ACCUGAAAGGAAAAGAAAAUGGAGCAAGUGUUCAAUUAUCUGUUAAAAUUUAUGAUUAUGUCAGCAUAAAAUUUCCACAAAAUUCAUAAAAUACUAUUAAAUUAGAAAGAAAAAGAUGAACUGAAUUUUGAAACGAAUAUGAGUUUUGGCUUGUUUGUUUGAAUCUUCCAUCACCAGGGUACAGGAACACUUAAAUAUUUAUACCACUAAAGGAAAAGUGAAAGGAAAAAUAAAUCUCAGUCAAGAUUUAAGAUUUGACAUUUCAUCCAAAAAGUUUUUAAAAAAGCAAAAAUAAACUUGUAAAACCAUUCCCAGUUUAUAAUUUUUUCAAAGAAUCGAGCUGUGCCCUAGAAUUUUUAAGUGCCCUAGAAUUUUAAUAAUUUAUUAUAAUUUAAUAGUUUUUAGUAAUUAUCAAUGCAAGUCAUACAGUCAACAUGCAAAUAAGUCAAAUAGCCACAUGCUGACCACAACUAGAAAUAGAAGUCCAUGAAAUAACACCACUUACAAUGACUCUAAAAGUCAAAGUCAGGUUUCCCAAUUAACUGACAUGUUUUUAGAAUAUGUACUACAUAUUUUAUAUACUUGAGCAAAACGUUUAAGGCAUGAUAAUAAACUCAUUUUUCAACUCUUGAAAUUAUACUGACACCCUUAAUAUGCUGAAAUGUCAGAAUCCCUGCUUAGAUUAGAAGCAGUGUUUCUUUCAAUCAUUUCAGUAUCUGUGUAAAGAGCAGUGACAAAAAAUAAUUUAGAAGAAACAUUCAAAUUAAGCAUGCUUGAAAAGAAAUGCUUCUGAUCAAACUCUGAAAUUCUAAAGGAUGAAAUGUAACUUUAUAAAUAAAUACAGGUUACUGGCAGGUGUUUUAAAAACUGUUUGCACCUAACAUAUAGCAUAAUGGGAAAUGCAAAAGGCUAGUCACUGUAGCCUAGUCUACAGAAAGGCAGAUCAACCACUGUUGUCAUAGUAGACGAUUAUGCUACUGGAUGCAGAGGUCAGAGCAGAGUACUGGACUGCACAGCUACACCCAUCAAGAUACUUUCUUAAUCUCUCUGGCGACUCUUGCCAGUAAUCCCAGCACUUGGGAGACUGGAAGAAAGAAUGCCACACGUUUGAGAUUUGUCCACUGAAAUACCUGGAAGCAAUAAUCCAUGCAGUAGCAACGAAUCCUAGUUGUGAUCCCAAUCCUAAGAAUCCCAGUCCCUAUGGAAAGAACCCGAGCUCCUUGAGGACUCCUUGAACCACAGGUGUCUGACACAGGCCAGACACAAAGGAGUCUGGAACGUUCAACCGUCCAGGCCCAUUAGAAAGCACAAAGAACAGUGAAGACCAGAGGAGACCGUCGCAGGGGAUGAGUGUCCACGGGAGCAGUUCAAACAACAGAGGUGCCCACUACAGCAGUAUAGCGACUCUAAAUUCUACAAGUGCACGCUGAAGAAGCAACCAAUCCUGGGUCUGGAUCAGAAUCACAAGAUGUGCUUAACAUUCUGUAGUCUCAGGAAGAACUAUUCAAAAACAGAACGGACAUCAUAUAGAAAGUG